CCUGAGAAACGGCUACCACAUCCAAGGAAGGCAGCAGGCGCGCAAAUUACCCACUCCCGGCACGGGGAGGUAGUGACGAAAAAUAACGAUACGGGACUCAUCCGAGGCCCCGUAAUCGGAAUGAGAACACUUUAAAUCCUUUAACGAGGAUCUAUUGGAGGGCAAGUCUGGUGCCAGCAGCCGCGGUAAUUCCAGCUCCAAUAGCGUAUAUUAAAGUUGUUGCGGUUAAAAAGCUCGUAGUCGGAGGUGUGUCUCGGACGGUCGGUUCGCCGCUUGUCGGUGCUCAACUGGCCGGUCCGGACGUCCUGCCGGUGGGGCUGUAAAAGGCUCCGUUAUCCUUACGUGGUCCUCUUCAUUGAGUACCUUGUUGGGCCGGCACGUUUNNNNNNNNNNNNUUAGAGUGCUCAAAGCAGGCCGUUGGUACAGCCUGAAUACUGUGUGCAUGGAAUAAUAGAAUAGGACCUCGGUUCCAUUUUGUUGGUUUUCAGAACUCGAGGUAAUGAUUAAUAGGGACGGACGGGGGCAUUCGUAUUGCGAGUUAGAGGUGAAAUUCUUGGACCGUCGCAAGACGAACCGAUGCGAAAGCAUUUGCCAAGAACGUUUUCAUUAAUCAAGAACGAAAGUUAGAGGUUCGAAGGCGAUCAGAUACCGCCCUAGUUCUAACCAUAAACGAUGCCAGCCAGCGAUCCGCCGAAGUUCCUCCGAUGACUCGGCGGGCAGCUUCCGGGAAACCAAAGCUCUUGGGUUCCGGGGGAGGUAUGGUUGCAAAGCUGAAACUUAAAGGAAUUGACGGAAGGGCACCACCAGGAGUGGAGCCUGCGGCUUAAUUUGACUCAACACGGGAAACCUUACCAGGCCCAGACACCGGUAGGAUUGACGAUUGAGAGCUCUUUCUUGAUUCGGUGGGUGGUGGUGCAUGGCCGUUCUUAGUUGGUGGGCGAUUUGUCUGGUUAAUUCCGAUAACGAACGAGACUC
RNAcentral lists this ribosomal RNA (975 nucleotides) under Libellula pulchella (twelve-spotted skimmer). RNAcentral describes it as "SSU rRNA". It matches the Rfam family "Eukaryotic small subunit ribosomal RNA", at positions 395 to 1343 of the family's 1831-position model. Lineage: Eukaryota; Metazoa; Arthropoda; Insecta; Odonata; Libellulidae. The record is from RNAcentral.